AACGAACGCUGGCGGCGUGGAUUAGGCAUGCAAGUCGAGCGGUAUCUAACGAAGCUUGCUUUGUUAGAGAGAGCGGCGAACGGGUGAGGAACACUUGGGUAACCUGCCUUUAAGUUCGGGAUAGCUUCGGGAAACUGGAGGUAAUACCGGAUGUGGUCGUCCUAUUAAUUAGGACUGUCUAAAGGGGGCUUCGGCUCUCGCUUAGAGAUGGGCCCGGUCCUAUCAGCUUGUUGGUGAGGUAACGGCUCACCAAGGCAAUGACGGGUAGCUGGUCUGAGAGGAUGGUCAGCCACACUGGGACUGAGACACUGCCCAGACUCCUACGGGACUGCAGUCGAGAA
This 341-nucleotide ribosomal RNA is filed under the name uncultured bacterium. RNAcentral describes it as "bacterial SSU rRNA". It matches the Rfam family "Bacterial small subunit ribosomal RNA", at positions 29 to 361 of the family's 1533-position model. The record is from RNAcentral.